ACGAACGCUGGCGGCGUGCUUAACACAUGCAAGUCGAGCGGAAAGGCCCUUCGGGGUACUCGAGCGGCGAACGGGUGAGUAACACGUGAGUAAUCUGCCCCAUGCUUCGGGAUAGCCACUCGAAAGGGUGAUUAAUACCGGAUACGACACGCCUCGGCAUCGAGUGUGUGUGGAAAGUUUUUUCGGCAUGGGAUGUGCUCGCGGCCUAUCAGCUUGUUGGUGGGGUAAUGGCCUACCAAGGCUUCGACGGGUAGCCG
Molecule: ribosomal RNA, 257 nt
Filed under: Nocardioides sp. ISO301_OTU9470
Lineage: Bacteria; Bacillati; Actinomycetota; Actinomycetes; Propionibacteriales; Nocardioidaceae
Description: partial 16S ribosomal RNA
Rfam family: Bacterial small subunit ribosomal RNA
Source: RNAcentral